RNAcentral lists this ribosomal RNA (497 nucleotides) under uncultured bacterium. Its description in RNAcentral is "partial 16S ribosomal RNA". It matches the Rfam family "Bacterial small subunit ribosomal RNA", at positions 28 to 507 of the family's 1533-position model. The record is from RNAcentral.
GACGAACGCUGGCGGCGUGCCUAAUACAUGCAAGUUGAGCGCUGAAGGUUGGUACUUGUACCAACUGGAUGAGCAGCGAACGGGUGAGUAACGCGUGGGGAAUCUGCCUUUGAGCGGGGGACAACAUUUGGAAACGAAUGCUAAUACCGCAUAAAAACUUUAAACACAAGUUUUAAGUUUGAAAGAUGCAAUUGCAUCACUCAAAGAUGAUCCCGCGUUGUAUUAGCUAGUUGGUGAGGUAAAGGCUCACCAAGGCGAUGAUACAUAGCCGACCUGAGAGGGUGAUCGGCCACAUUGGGACUGAGACACGGCCCAAACUCCUACGGGAGGCAGCAGUAGGGAAUCUUAGGCAAUGGACGAAAGUCUGACCGAGCAACGCCGCGUGAGUGAAGAAGGUUUUCGGAUCGUAAAACUCUGUUGGUAGAGAAGAACGUUGGUGAGAGUGGAAAGCCCAUCAAGUGACGGUAACUACCCAGAAAGGGACGGCUAACUACGUG